CUGGAAAUAGUCUGAUCACAUCUUCAUAACUAGCCACAGUCAAUUCACUUUUACCAACCACAAAAAUAAAAAAUACGUGCUUUCUGUAAAUUCAUUUGCUAUCUUAAAGCUUUCAAAUCAAAGAGAAAAUAUUUACGUCUGAAAUACAAAAUUAA
Long non-coding RNA from Ochotona curzoniae (black-lipped pika), 155 nucleotides. RefSeq lists it as uncharacterized. The transcript is spliced from 3 exons. The record is from RefSeq and is a predicted model, not a curated record. Lineage: Eukaryota; Metazoa; Chordata; Mammalia; Lagomorpha; Ochotonidae.